UACGUAGGGAGCGAGCGUUGUCCGAAGUUACUGGGCGUAAAGCGCGUGUAGGCGGGUUGUUAAGUCCGCUGUGAAAGCCCGGGGCUUAACCCCGGAGGGUCGGUGGAUACUGGCAGUCUUGAAGUGGCUAGGGGGAAAUGGAAUUACCGGUGUAGCGGUGAAAUGCGUAGAGAUCGGUAGGAACACCAGUGGCGAAGGCGGUUUCCUGGAGCCCACUUGACGCUGAGACGCGAAAGCUGGGGGAGCGAACGGG
RNAcentral lists this ribosomal RNA (253 nucleotides) under uncultured prokaryote. RNAcentral's name for it is "partial 16S ribosomal RNA". It matches the Rfam family "Bacterial small subunit ribosomal RNA", at positions 524 to 776 of the family's 1533-position model. The record is from RNAcentral.